GACGAACGCUGGCGGCGUGCUUAACACAUGCAAGUCGAGCGGUAAGGCCCUUUCGGGGGUACACGAGCGGCGAACGGGUGAGUAACACGUGGGUGACCUGCCCUCAGCUCUGGGAUAAGCCUGGGAAACUGGGUCUAAUACUGGAUAUGACUCCACGGUGCAUGUCGUGGGGUGGAAAGCCUUGUGCGGCUGAGGAUGGGCCCGCGGCCUAUCAGCUUGUUGGUGGGGUGANGGCCUACCAAGGCGACGACGGGUAGCCGGCCUGAGAGGGCGACCGGCCACACUGGGACUGAGACACGGGCCCAGACUCCUACGGGAGGCAGCAGUGGGGAAUCUUGCGCAAUGGGCGAAAGCCCUGACGCAGCGACGCCGCGUGAGGGAUGACGGCCU
Molecule: ribosomal RNA, 390 nt
Filed under: uncultured bacterium
Lineage: Bacteria
Description: bacterial SSU rRNA
Rfam family: Bacterial small subunit ribosomal RNA
Source: RNAcentral